Molecule: long non-coding RNA, 1890 nt
Organism: Falco peregrinus (peregrine falcon)
Lineage: Eukaryota; Metazoa; Chordata; Aves; Falconiformes; Falconidae
Exons: 3
Source: RefSeq, a predicted model, not a curated record
CUCACCUUUGUUUUCUAGUUCUGACUCAGCUAAUACAGGACUAUGCCGGUGUUCAAGUACCUCUACUGAUGAUCAUUUCCAUGGCACGUAACUGCGGUCAUAUGGAAGUAUUUCAUCAGUUGAAAAGGUGUAUUAAUGUAAUGCCUUAGACCCUCAUUGAAAAUUCAUCAUUCGUGUCCUCCUGCUGAGAAGAAAAUAAAGAGGUGGUAUAGAUUUCAACCUUCAGUUUGGAAGAGAAAAGAAAUAAGGAUAUGAGACCUGAAGACCUGCAAGUGGAAAGCAGGCAGGGGAAUGUGAUGGAGCGAUGUUGACAGCAAGGCCUGUCCCUGCUGCCCCAGCUUUUUAAGAGCCUUCUGGCAACUGAGAUUUUGGUUUCAUGUCCUUUUGCCACUGGACCUAGCCUUGCCUCCACAUGAUAUCCCGGGAGUCGUGUUCCCAGCUGUUGCACCCUUCUUUUCUUGAUUAACCUCUGGGCAGCAGACAGUGAAAAUGGCACAGAAUGUAUUUGCUAAAUGAAUGUGAAAAAAAUCUGUCAGGCUGAUGGCUUUCUUGGCACAGUACCCCUCAGUAGCAGUACAUCAGCAGAGAGGAUGGCUAGGCUUUAAAAUGGCUGAGUUCUCUAGUCUGUUCUCUCUGCCAGUGCUGUGCUGGUGGGAUUGAGCUGAGAGUCUGUGUAGGAGUCAGGACAUUUCAGACUCCUACUCUCUCACAUGUCUUGACACACUUUUAUUGUACCCUGACAGCUGCUUUCAUGAUAUGUUAUCUGUCACAAUGUCUUGUACUUUUUAUACUUUUUUACUAUAUUGCUUUUAUACUACAGGAUCUGACCACAAAUGUUCUCUCUUUGGUUUUGCCACUCUUAGCUGCAGUGCAAAGUGGUUGGGUCUAGGGAAAGGUCAUUUUUGGGACUCGGAUCCUGUAACACCAUUCUGCCUCAUAGGCUUCAUAAGGUGAUGGAGAAACUGUGCUAAUAGGCACUUGGUACCCUACUGCACUGCCAAGGUUUCCCUGGCACUGCUCUGCCCAGUUUCAGGUGUGGUGCUUAAAGGAAGGCAUUGACAUGUUAAGGAGGGCACAGGCAGAGGAGAUCCAGGCCAGGAGUGAGCAUUGGUGAUGAUCACCUCUCUGGCAGACAUGAUCAGUUAAAUGAAGUGCAGGAGCUCAGAGGACAUGGUCUUUCUGUAUGUAUUGAUGGCUGCAAAAAACAAUCACACAUUUUCUGGCUGCAGGACAAGGUGUAAUGGGAUGAAACCUGUGGCAAGGACCAUUCAGACUAGGUGGUAAGAAAAAAUUUUCUGCUGGCAAAAUGAGGGAGUGUUAGAUUGGUGAGGUUGGCCAGAUGUAGUGGGUUGACCUUGACUGGAUGCCAGAUGCCCACUAAGCUGCUCUGUCACUCCCCUCCUCAACUGGACAAGGGAGAGAAAACAAAACAAAAAGCUCAUGGGUCAGGAUAAGGACAGGGAGAUCACUCAGCAGUUACCAUCAGGGCAAAACAGACAACUUUGGGAAAUCAGUUUAAUUUAUUACAAUCCAAAUUAGAGUAGAAUAAUGAGAAAUAAACCCAAAACUUAAAAACACCUUUCCCCCAACCCUCUCUUCUUCCUGGACCUAACUUUACUCCAGCCCAGAUAUCUCCCCCUCCUCCCCUUGAGCAGCGCAGGCGGAUGGGGAAUGGGGGCUGUGGUCAGUCCAUCACACAUUGUCUCUGCUGCUCCUUCCUCCUCAGGUGGAAGACUCCUUACACUCUUCCCCUGCUCUAGCAUGGAGUCCCCCCCUUCAGCAGACAGGCCUCCGUGAACCUCUCCAACACGGGUCCUUCCCACAGGCUGCAGUUCUUUACCCACUGCUCUAGUGUGGGUCCUUUCCACAGUGUGCAGCAUGGGUCCUUUC